This 492-nucleotide ribosomal RNA is filed under the name uncultured bacterium. RNAcentral describes it as "partial 16S ribosomal RNA". It matches the Rfam family "Bacterial small subunit ribosomal RNA", at positions 30 to 507 of the family's 1533-position model. The record is from RNAcentral.
AUUGAACGCUGGCGGCAUGCUUUACACAUGCAAGUCGAACGGUAACAGGCCUUCGGGUGCUGACGAGUGGCGAACGGGUGCGUAAUGCAUCGGAACGUGCCCAGAGGUGGGGGAUAACGCAGCGAAAGCUGUGCUAAUACCGCAUGUGAUCUGAGGAUGAAAGCGGGGGACCAGGCAGCAAUGUUUGGCCUCGCGCCUUUGGAGCGGCCGAUGUCAGAUUAGGUAGUUGGUGGGGUAAAGGCCUACCAAGCCGACGAUCUGUAGCUGGUCUGAGAGGACGACCAGCCACACUGGGACUGAGACACGGCCCAGACUCCUACGGGAGGCAGCAGUGGGGGAUUUUGGACAAUGGGCGCAAGCCUGAUCCAGCAAUGCCGCGUGCGGGAAGAAGGCCUUCGGGUUGUAAACCGCUUUUGUACGGAACGAAAAGGCUCUGGCUAAUACCUGGGGCUGAUGACGGUACCGUAAGAAUAAGCACCGGCUAACUACGUG